RNAcentral lists this long non-coding RNA (462 nucleotides) under Chinchilla lanigera (long-tailed chinchilla). RNAcentral describes it as "lncRNA (ENSCLAG00000029251.1)". Lineage: Eukaryota; Metazoa; Chordata; Mammalia; Rodentia; Chinchillidae. The record is from RNAcentral.
AUGCAGCAGGUCAGAGGGAGAAGCUUGGAGACCGUGCGGGCAGCUCACGCCAAGACCCUCUCUGACAUGAUGAUCCCUGCUGGCCCUGUCCUCGAUAAUCUCUGCAACUCAACCCAAAUAGAAACGCCAGGAGGAGCCGACCGUGUGAAGACAAGACAUUCACUCUGCAGAUAUCCUACAAGCUCCUGUGAUCCAGGCUGCACAGACCUCAAAACUGUACUCGAAGGCUGGGGAUACAGCUCAGUGGCACAAGUGCCUACCUGGCAAGUACAAGGUCCUGAGUUCGAUUUCCAGUAAACCCCACCCACCCACCAAAAAGAAAACCUGUACUGGAAAUCUGCCUUACUAUUUAAUAAAAAGUUACUCUAUAGAGUUUUAAGGAAAUGAAAUUACAGGGCAUAUAUUAGAUUUUAUAUAUAUUUUAUGUUUUUACAGAUAUUAUAUAGUUGCCCUCCAGAAAAC